GGGAAAGGAGAUGGAGCUCAACAGCAUCCCCUAUAUUGCGUCGUGGUCUUCCUCCUCCAGCUGCUUCUACUACAGCUACAGUCGCUGCGCCUGCAGGUGAUGUUAGAGAACUCUCGUUCCCGUAUGCAAAUGGGAGAGUCUUGUCUGCAUGGAAGCAAACGACCUGAGAAAUCCUUAUGUACAGAGGUAGAAGAGAUGGGAAGCUGGUAACAAAAGCUUCUGCAGCUGGUAGUAAGCGUGCUGCUAAUUCAGUAUGUUCACAACUCUCUGAGCAGGGAACUGAAGAUUCCAUUUCA
RNAcentral lists this long non-coding RNA (296 nucleotides) under Zea mays. RNAcentral's name for it is "long non-coding RNA (ZMAY_LNC005378)". The record is from RNAcentral. Lineage: Eukaryota; Viridiplantae; Streptophyta; Magnoliopsida; Poales; Poaceae.